CGGGCAGCUCCUGAGGAGAGAGGGACAUUGGGGGAGGGGAGGGGGGGCAGUCAUCGUCACAAGGCGGUGUAUGCUUAAGUUGCAGUCCUCAUUGACAUACAGUGACAGACAACUGAAAAUGUCAUCCUAUUUGGCUCAGGAGGUUCACCUUGCUAGAAGACACGAAGAGAUACUGUCUCAGAGAUCAGUGUUGCUACGGCAGAUGGAGACUUAUCUAGGAGACAAAAAGACUAAAAAGACAUGGCAAACUCAAGCAGCUGAUGCAGCUCGUAAAAGGAAUGCAGCACUUUUAAAUCUCGGAGAAAGUGAGCCAGAGCCUAUUCUAGUUCGCCUGUCAACAGGAAUGGCAGCGGACGGCUCCAUCCCCACCGGGCUUUGUGCCCCCGAAGCGCUGCCUGCCUGCGAGGCAUGGCAACGUCGCGGGAGAGUCCAGGUCCUGCCGCUGGACUUCUCUGGUCCAGGAGCCAGUCGAGAGUCAGCGGGGUCCACAUCUUACCCAAAGCCCCCCGGCCACCAAGGCAAGCAAGAAAAUGAUGAAGGGGCGGCUGCUGUUCUCCUGCCUCGCUGUCGAUGGAGCGAUGCGGUAUUUCAUUUCUGAAAACCAAGCCCAAGAGAUGUCCCUUCUUCCUGGUUUGAAGUGGUGUACUUCUUCGUUUUGAAAGAGUGGGAGCUUUUUAAUUUUUUCUGGUUUUGUUGUGUGUGUUUUUUUUUUUUUUUCUUUUCCCCCUUAUUUUCUAUUUAGGAGAAAAGGUGGGAGGAAGUAGAGAAGGAGAAUAUAAUGGGGGGAUGGCCUUGUUCUCACUUUCCUACUGAAAACAUUUCAGAAAAAGGAGCAAAAAGCAGUGAAAAUGGGUAGAAGCCCACUUCAGUUUUGCGUUCCCAUUCCUUCCCUUUUUUGCUUGAAAGAAGGAUGGCCAAAAAAAAUAAGUGGGACAAACCCCACGUGUUUUGAAUUAUUCUCUUCUUAAUGAGUUAGAAAAACAUCUUGUUUUCAAAAGUACAUGCUUUUUCCAUGAAAAAAAUCAAAUAGAGGAAGAACCUUUCCAAAGCCAAUAACAGUUGCCAUUCCCAGUCAUUUUGCAACUCCCCACUCAGUGUUUUGCCAUUUUUCUGGCUAUGCCACGGCUCAUAUUGUUUGAUGUUUGCAUUUAUCUUUGCUCGAAGGACAUAAUUUUCGUAGACGUCCUUGUUCUCUGCUGAGCAGGACUCUGCGGCAGUCUGCAAGGUACCGUGGGAGCAGCGGACGGUAGCAUGUCACCUCCUUCCAUCAGGACAAACCAGAGCCCCUCAACGCUCUCCUGUCCAGCUGAAAGCCAUCGACAGGCCCCGAGAUCAGCUGCUUUCGGAGCCCCCUCUCUGCCGAAAGCGCUCCUAAACGGUGCGGCCUUUGUUCCCCCCAGCUGUCGCAUCCUCCGGGAUCGGCAACAAGUCCUCGCUUUACAGACCCCGUCUUGUCAGUCCCCAAGCUGAUCUGACCACCUGGUUUGUUUUUGAAGCGAGCGCUCGAGUCAUAACAUUUCUGUUUAUUUCAACAACUGUAUUCCUUGCAUAGGAAAUGAGCCAAGAUGGUCUAAGGCGGGGAGAGCGAAGCAUGUCGGGGUUGUAAUUGCUUUUGCUCUCCCAAUAUCAAAUUUUACAGUAUAAUCAAAAUCUUAUUUUUGUACUACUGGACUCUGUUAUUGACUUAAUCUUCUUAAGUGCUCCUAUUAUUCCAGUGAUUUCAUCGUUGCAUGUUGAUUUUAAUCUUUUGAUCUCCAUAUUAGCUACUGCCUGCAACUAAUUUGUUGCUCAGUGUUUUUCUUUGUUUUGACCUGUGAGGCAUUUUCCUCAUGGCACACAACUCUGCUGGCAGAUUGCAUAUAAUCUCUGCACUUUUUUUCUCCCAUAUUUUGCAUAGUUACAACAAAUGCAGAUUUACAACUUGAAACAGAAUAUGUAUCUUCUGGGGAGGCUGGGCAAAAUAUCACUUAGCGCCUUUAGCUCGGGAGCCCGAAUGCGCUCGAACGGAGGAAAUGCCGCCGAAUGCAGCUCACCGGAGAGAGGUGUCGCUCAGGCUCCUGAGCCAAACGAGUUCAGAAUUGUUGGCAACCGCAGCGUUUGUAACUUAAAUUACACGCAGUCAGGUACCAAACAGCUUCUGGAGGCACGGCUAGGGCGAAGAGGAGGAAGGCUGGUUUUUGUGAAUGGCUUAGGGGACUCCUAGCUGGCCUCAGCUUGGCAUUUGGGGGUUCUGCUGAGUCCCGACACCACGGAGCAGUUUUUUCAACAAAAACUGGUGGCAGUGGUGCUGGUGCAGAGUCUUGAACUUCACAAAGUGCAGAGGGUGAGAUACGGCUCAGCUGUGUUUCGGUUGCCCGUUAUACCAGCGCUUUUCCCCUUGGUAGCUGCUGGUUUAACCUGUGCUGGUUUACUGGGGCUUUGUUUGCUUUAGCUUCUUCUUUUAAAGCUUCGAGGAGUAAUUUUUGCCUUAGGUUUGCCGUGACUUUUUUUUUUAAAAGAACACAGACUGAACAUUGACAAAAUCAUCUUUGCUUUGCUGCAUGCCUAUUUAUGCUUCUGAAACCAAAUUGUCUUCUAAUAUUUUUGACGUUUUGGUCACCAGAGAGGCAGAAAAGCAAUUUCUAAGAUGCCUAUGGGCCAGGAGACAUGCUUUACAGCAGAGGGGAAAGAAUCUGUUAGUUGCUGAGAUAUAAAACAAAUUGGAUGAACAGCUGCUGACACUUGUCAGUCAAAUAGUUGAUAGCAUUUUCAGUCUCCAUGCCACAUGCUUUAAGUAAGUCUGUCAAAAAAAGGAUAUUUUCGCUGGACUUCCCUGUAAAUAUGAGAGAAGUUUUGGCCUGAUCUAUCAUUUAAAAUUUUGCUGGCAGAGGAAUGAAAUUUUCCUCUUUCCCCAAACUGAUUGACAUAACUGUACUGGCAGAUCCUUCAUCUAGGUGCAGUUGUACUGGCAGGAAGUCCUUUGACUGUUGGAGCUCAUUCCACGGCAGCAGCGGGUUGAAGUGAAACCAGCAGCAGACCUUUCCGUCUCCUCGGCAGGGUUUGCCAGAGUGCUCCCAGCCAUCAGCAAACCCUUUUAGAAGCUGCCCUAGGUGUAGCUUUGCCCUACACGAGCCUGAGCCCCAUCCAAAGGAUGUUACGUGGCCGAGGAGGCUUUAAACCCAGAUUGUGUUGUUCAGACAGCACCAAACCAUUUGGGGUGAUUCCUGCAGGAUUUAACCAAGAGGGCACUCGGUGCUCCCGGUGCCGCCGUGCAGCACCCACACGGGACAGGGUCAGGCUGCCAGCACCACGUCACCAUCGGCAGGGGGGCUCGGGGUGCACCAGGCUCCUUCUCUUGCCUUCAUGCUGCAGGACUGGGAGGUUAAAUCCUGCCUUGCAGCAUUGCUCGUACGUGAGUUCUUCACACCAAAAUUUGUAACUUGACGCUCAUUUGGGUCCAAACUCCCUAAAAGAAACGAUCUGCCUAAUGCUUCCUCUCUUAGGACAUGCGGUCAGGCCUGGCAUAGCCUCAGGGCUCUUACGGAGUCCCUGAGCUGCUUUGCUGGGGUCUGAGGCCACGUGAAAAGCUGUCACAGGCUGCAGGGGCGCUGCUGCUGACGGGGAAGCUCCGAGGAGGAGCGUGGCCACCACCACCGCUGCAGGGCGGCACCUCUGCGUGCUGGUGGUGCGCAGCCUGGGAUCAGCUCCCGAAGGCUGCGCCCACACGGCUUCAUUCAAAAAAACUGAGCAGGGCUCACUAUUUUGAAAGGUGGCAGGUGGAAGUGGGCUGUGUUUUCACCCAAUAAAUAUUUCAUGUAAAAAAAAAAGGGGGAGCCUGUUCCAGAGCGGAGUCAAGCUGUUUCUCUAGCUCUGCUCUGCCUGACGGGGAGCGGAGCUACAAAUUUGGUCUUCCCUGGAGCUUUUUGCUCCCAGCCUGGUGCCUGCCCCAGCUGAGGCUUUCCCGGUGCCUCCUCUUGGAGGUGUUGCAGGUUGUAUCAGUGUCUGGGGCAGGAGAGGGAGAGGAAGACAAGGAUGUGAGCAUGCAUACGCAUAGCUCAGGAGCCUGGCUUCUGGACGUGGCUGCAGGCUCCAAGCACAGAGAUGUCGGGAUACAGGAAUUUUUUUAUAUAUGUCCCACUGGCAGGCCUGCAGAAGCACCUGCCCUGGCCUUGGAGGACGUAGGUCUGACUUAACCAUUCAGUUGCUGCCUCCAUUCCUCUGGGGCCCUAGGGUGGGGAAGAGCUGUGUCGGUGGCCACAUUUCUGCUGAGGUCCCCAGAGGCUCCUCUCCCUGUCAGUGCUUCUGCCUACCAGCACCGUAGGGUGAGACAAGAACCAAAAGUGAUCUGCAGGGUUACAGUAAGGGUUCAUAGCUUGUCUGUGCCCGUGCAUCAAGUGGCUUACAAAAUGUAAAGGGUGCUAAAUGUGCCCACCACCCGCCCCUAGAGCAGAACCUGCUGAUGCCCCCGUCCCCGGGGUGGGCACGGCUCACCACGGGUACAUGGCAGGGCUGCAGGGCACCUCCAGAGCCGGGGGGUGAACUGCCAGUGAGAGGAGGGUCCCCAAAUCCGGCACUGCAGAUGAAUGAGCUCCCAGCUCCGUAGCCAUCCCGGGACCCAGCACCCCACCCGGGCUGUUCCCAGAGCCCCCCUUCCUUCCAUUCCUCCCUUGGCUUCUGUGGGAGAAGACAAAAUAAAAACUGAAGCCUUUCUUGCGGAAGGCAAGUGUCGGGUAAGGCUAAUUGCCGUGUAAUAACGGGGGCUGUACCGGAGCAGACCAUCGAUUAGCCGCCCAAGGACAGCUGACAGGGCGCAGUGCCCAGAUGAUGGUGGAAACGAGCGGGGUGGUGGCAGCCCACGUGCCCUUGUACCUGGGGAAUAUAUGGUCUGGGCCCAGCCUGAC
Molecule: RNA transcript, 4880 nt
Organism: Cygnus olor (mute swan)
Lineage: Eukaryota; Metazoa; Chordata; Aves; Anseriformes; Anatidae
Gene: CEP15
Gene name: chromosome 10 C3orf14 homolog
Exons: 6
Source: RefSeq, a predicted model, not a curated record